AAAUUCGUAGCGCAUCUGAUUUCAAAUCAGAAAGUUGUGUGUUUGAUUCAUGUCGGAUCUA
This 61-nucleotide transfer RNA is filed under the name Capsicum annuum. It matches the Rfam family "tRNA". From Rfam's summary of the family: Transfer RNA (tRNA) molecules are approximately 80 nucleotides in length. Their secondary structure includes four short double-helical elements and three loops (D, anti-codon, and T loops). Lineage: Eukaryota; Viridiplantae; Streptophyta; Magnoliopsida; Solanales; Solanaceae. The record is from Rfam by way of RNAcentral.